CCUACGGGUGGCAGCAGUGCGGAAUAUUGGUCAAUGGCCGCAGGGCUGAACCAGCCACGUCGCGUGAGUGAUGACGGUCCUCUGGAUUGUAAACCUCUUUUGUCAGGGAGCAAAGGGCGCCACGUGUGGCGCUUUGCGCGUACCUGAAGCUACCGCAUCGGCUAACUCCGUGCCAGCCGCCGCGGUAAUCCGGAGGUUGCGAGCGUUAUCCGGAUUUAUUGGGUUUAACGGGUUCGCCGGCGGAAUUUCAGGUCAGCGGUAAAAUUUCGGGGCUCAACCCCGUCGUGCCGUUGAAACUGGCGUUCUUGAGGGAGCGAGAAGUAUGCGGAAUGCGUGGUGUAGCGGUGAAAUGCAUAGAUAUCACGCAGAACUCCGAUGGCGAAGGCAGCAUACCGGCGCUCAACUGACGCUCAGGCACGAAAGCGUGGGUAUCGAACAGGAUUAGAUACCCGUGUAGUC
RNAcentral lists this ribosomal RNA (459 nucleotides) under uncultured bacterium. Its description in RNAcentral is "partial 16S ribosomal RNA". It matches the Rfam family "Bacterial small subunit ribosomal RNA", at positions 338 to 795 of the family's 1533-position model. The record is from RNAcentral.